Molecule: ribosomal RNA, 484 nt
Filed under: uncultured bacterium
Lineage: Bacteria
Description: partial 16S ribosomal RNA
Rfam family: Bacterial small subunit ribosomal RNA
Source: RNAcentral
AUUGAACGCUGGCGGCAGGCCUAACACAUGCAAGUCGAGCGGAUGAAGGGAGCUUGCUCCUGGAUUCAGCGGCGGACGGGUGAGUAAUGCCUAGGAAUCUGCCUGGUAGUGGGGGAUAACGUCCGGACACGGGCGCUAAUACCGCAUACGUCCUGAGGGAGAAAGUGGGGGAUCUUCGGACCUCACGCUAUCAGAUGAGCCUAGGUCGGAUUAGCUAGUUGGUGGGGUAAAGGCCUACCAAGGCGACGAUCCGUAACUGGUCUGAGAGGAUGAUCAGUCACACUGGAACUGAGACACGGUCAAGACUCCUACGGGAGGCAGCAGUGGGGAAUAUUGGACAAUGGGCGAAAGCCUGAUCCAGCCAUGCCGCGUGUGUGAAGAAGGUCUUCGGAUUGUAAAGCACUUUAAGUUGGGAGGAAGGGCAGUAAGUUAAUACCUUGCUGUUUUGACGUUACCAACAGAAUAAGCACCGGCUAACUUCGUG